GAUGAACGCUGGCGGCGUGCCUAAUACAUGCAAGUCGAGCGAACAGACGAGGAGCUUGCUCCUCUGACGUUAGCGGCGGACGGGUGAGUAACACGUGGAUAACCUACCUAUAAGACUGGGAUAACUUCGGGAAACCGGAGCUAAUACCGGAUAAUAUAUUGAACCGCAUGGUUCAAUAGUGAAAGACGGUUUUGCUGUCACUUAUAUAUGGAUCCGCGCUGCAUUAGCUAGUUGGUAAGGUAACGGCUUACCAAGGCAACGAUGCGUAGCCGACCUGAGAGGGUGAUCGGCCACACUGGAACUGAGACACGGUCCAGACUCCUACGGGAGGCAGCAGUAGGGAAUCUUCCGCAAUGGGCGAAAGCCUGACGGAGCAACGCCGCGUGAGUGAUGAAGGUCUUCGGAUCGUAAAACUCUGUUAUUAGGGAAGAACAAAUGUGUAAGUAACUAUGCACGUCUUGACGGUACCUAAUCAGAAAGCCACGGCUAACUACGUG
RNAcentral lists this ribosomal RNA (497 nucleotides) under uncultured bacterium. RNAcentral describes it as "partial 16S ribosomal RNA". It matches the Rfam family "Bacterial small subunit ribosomal RNA", at positions 28 to 507 of the family's 1533-position model. The record is from RNAcentral.